AGAGUUUGAUCAUGGCUCAGAAUCAACGCUGGCGGCGUGCCUCAGACAUGCAAGUCGAACGCGAAAGUUUCCUUCGGGAAGCGAGUAGAGUGGCGCACGGGUGAGUAACACGUAGGUUAUCUACCUCUAAGUGGGGAAUAACCAUCGGAAACGAUGGCUAAUACCGCAUAAUACCGAAAGGUCAAAGCUUUAUGUGCUUAGAGAGGAGCCUGCGGCAGAUUAGGUAGUUGGGAAGGUAAUGGCUUACCAAGCCUGCGAUCUGUAUCCGGUCUGAGAGGGCGGUCGGACACACUGACACUGAAGAACGGGUCAGACUCCUACGGGAGGCAGCAGUCGGGAAUUUUGGGCAAUGGGCGAAAGCCUGACCCAGCAACGCCGCGUGAAGGAUGAAGUCUUUCGGGUCGUAAAGCCCUUUUGCCACUGACGAGCACGGACGGUAGGUGGCGAAUAAGUCUCGGCUAACUACGUGCCAGCAGCCGCGGUAAUUC
RNAcentral lists this ribosomal RNA (488 nucleotides) under uncultured bacterium. RNAcentral's name for it is "bacterial SSU rRNA". It matches the Rfam family "Bacterial small subunit ribosomal RNA", at positions 8 to 526 of the family's 1533-position model. The record is from RNAcentral.